GAAGGGAAAGCAAGGGAGCUGAGGGUGCUGCAGGAGGAUGUUGGGGGCCGUGCAUGGCAGGACAGCUGGAAGGAGCAGAAAUGACAGGCACUGGAGCAGACAGCUGAGAAUAAAGAGUGGGAGCCAGAGAGGGGACAGCUCUUUGAGCACCAGGGAAGUAUCUGGGCUGUGUCGACCCAGGUCCCUGUUUGCCACAUGAAACCCUGGGAGAGACACCCGAAGACUCGCCGGAGAGCUGUCUCACAGAGAGCUGGGGCAACUUCUCCAGGGAAAGGAGACCACGAAGAGCUCGGUGCCUGGGGCCUCUGCUUUCCUUCCACCACACCCAUGGGCUCUGCUGCCCACAUAGGGACAGCCCAGCUCCUCGCCUCCACUCCUUCCUUCGGCCUGGUCUGCCCUCCUCUGGAAGAUCAAGACGCAAGAAGACAGGUAGUGCCACCCCACAGCAGGGGAACCGGAGGGAGGCUCGCCAGGUAAACCAAGAGGGAAGAAGAGGCUCCAGCCGCCCCGCUCUGGGUGGGCCCUGCAGCAUCCAUACCUGCGUCCA
Long non-coding RNA from Callorhinus ursinus (northern fur seal), 547 nucleotides. RefSeq lists it as uncharacterized. The record is from RefSeq and is a predicted model, not a curated record. NCBI's taxonomy places the organism in Eukaryota, Metazoa, Chordata, Mammalia, Carnivora, Otariidae.